RNAcentral lists this ribosomal RNA (1149 nucleotides) under Triticum aestivum (bread wheat). Its description in RNAcentral is "partial small subunit ribosomal RNA". Lineage: Eukaryota; Viridiplantae; Streptophyta; Magnoliopsida; Poales; Poaceae. The record is from RNAcentral.
AUGCUCCGAUCCUCCUCGCCGCAGACGCUAGACGGCGUCCUGUGGGCCGAGGCUGCCCUCCACCAGUACUAUGCCCUACCCAAGAAGGGCAAGCCGCAGGGGCGCGAGUCCACCGUCCUCGCUGCCUUCCUGCUCUCUUCCCCGGAAAACCCACUGAACCCCACCAUCCUAUCCCUCGCCACUGGCACCAAGUGCCUCGGCGCAGCAUGCCUCGGACCUCGUGGUGACCUCGUCCACGACGCCCACGCCGAGGUCAUCGCCCGCCGUGCGCUCCUCCGCCUCAUUUAUGCCGAGAUUGGCACAGACAACCCACCAAGUUGGCUGGUUGCCUCUGGCGCUGAUGGGCGGUGGAGGCUGAAGGACGGGCAUCAGCUGCAUCUCUACAUCACGCAGCUCCCCUGUGGGGUCAUGCCGGUGCCGCCAUCACCCUUGGAGGUUCGGAGGGAACAACUGGAUACCAUGGUGAAUGGAUGCAGUGAUGUUGGUUUCGUUCAGAGGAAGCCUGGGCGUGGUGAUACAACAUUGUCAGUGAGCUGUUUUGACAAAAUUACUCGCUGGUGUGUCGUCGGGAUUCAAGGUGCACUGCUGUCACACAUUCUCGAACCCUUGUAUUUGUCCACCAUUACCAUUGGACAAUCAUCUGAUGGUGCACCUGAAGGGUUUUGUAUUGAAGAUAACGUUGUAAAAGUUCUUGGUGCUCGUUUGUCCUGUCUAUCCUGUAAUAAAUUCCCUGACCCUUUCAAACCGAACAAGCCACUAUUUUUUGAGGCACCUGUCCCCCCUAAAGAAUUUCAACAGACUUCAGGAGAUAUACCGCCUUUGACUUGCGGGUACUCAAUAUGCUGGAAUAAAUCCGGUUUGCAUGAAGUUGUUUUAGGAACAACUGGAAGAAAACAAGGUACAUCUUCAAAGGCAGCAUCCUCACCCUCCACUGAGUCAUUGCUGUGCAAGAUAAGAUUGGCAGAGACCUUCAUAUCACUUGAGCAUCCAUUAGUCACAAAGUUCUGUCACGAGGAACUGUCUUAUCGUGCAAUUAAGGAUAUGGCUUGUGAGUACCAGCAGAUGCUUGAGCUUCUUAGAAAGGCUCCAUUUUUUGGCCGGUGGCGUGCUAAGCCAGCAUCCCUUGAUUCGUUUACAGUUCCACGGUGA